Molecule: non-coding RNA, 295 nt
Organism: Arachis ipaensis
Lineage: Eukaryota; Viridiplantae; Streptophyta; Magnoliopsida; Fabales; Fabaceae
Source: RefSeq, a predicted model, not a curated record
GAGUACCAGCAUUGAUGCUAUUAUGAAUCUGUUAGAGUUGCUAUUGGGCUGUGAUUGCUCUUAAUUUCCAUCCAAUUUGAAUCCUUUGUUUGGUUACAACCCCGGUCACUGCCGUGAAGAUUAACAAUGCUGCAGUUCCGGUUGCUACCUUGCCAUUCCGGUUGCGUGACAGUCACUGCUGCUGCCAUGAAACUAAAAGGGAAUGGAAUUGUUACGUUAAAUUAUGCAAUUGUGACAUCGAGCGACAGGUUUGAAGACGCAAUUUGAAGCUGCGAGCGAUCAGUAGGCUUUCUUU